AAACGACUCUCGGCAACGGAUAUCUCGGCUCUCGCAUCGAUGAAGAACGUAGCGAAAUGCGAUACUUGGUGUGAAUUGCAGAAUCCCGUGAACCAUCGAGUCUUUGAACGCAAGUUGCGCCCUAAGCCUUCUGGCCGAGGGCACGUCUGCCUGGGUGUCACA
This 162-nucleotide ribosomal RNA is filed under the name Sterigmostemum sulphureum. Its description in RNAcentral is "5.8S ribosomal RNA". It matches the Rfam family "5.8S ribosomal RNA". Rfam says of the family: 5.8S ribosomal RNA (5.8S rRNA) is a component of the large subunit of the eukaryotic ribosome. It is transcribed by RNA polymerase I as part of the 45S precursor that also contains 18S and 28S rRNA. RNAcentral also lists the same sequence under 3 other names. The record is from RNAcentral. Lineage: Eukaryota; Viridiplantae; Streptophyta; Magnoliopsida; Brassicales; Brassicaceae.